RNAcentral lists this small RNA (6378 nucleotides) under Pan troglodytes (chimpanzee). RNAcentral describes it as "retained intron". The record is from RNAcentral. Lineage: Eukaryota; Metazoa; Chordata; Mammalia; Primates; Hominidae.
AAGGAGAGACUUUGCUCCCUGUCGAUGCCGUGGCUGGACAAAUGCCGCUCUCAACUGCUACAGACCGAAGUCUACGCUUUAAAGAUAGAGAAGCCAUUCUGUCAAAGUGAAAACAGAAGCGGUAGGUAGGAAGCCGCCCCCCUUUCUUUCAAGCACAGAGACCCAGAGAGACGCCCAGGAGCUCCCGAAAAAAACGUUGCUGAUUAGAGCUGCCAGGUCAGAAACAGCUGUGAGACACUGAAGUCCCCACUUUUAUAAUUAUUCAAUAUGUUCCCACUGACUGAGGAAAACAAGCAUGUGGCCCGGUUGUUGCUCAAUACUGGUACUUGUCCAAGAUGUAUCUUCAGAUUCUGUGGUGUGGAUUUUCAUGCACCUUACAAACUUCCAUACAAGGAGUUGCUCAAUGAACUACAGAAAUUUCUGGAAACUGAAAAAGAUGAAUUAAUUUUGGAAGUUAUGAACCCACCUCCCAAGAAAAUUCGACUGCAAGAACUGGAAGAUAGUAUUGAUAAUCUAAGUCAAAAUGGAGAGGGAAGGAUCUCUGUUAGUCAAGUUGGAAGCACUGCUUCCAAGAACUCAAAUUUAAAUGUAUGUAAUGUAUGCCUAGGAAUUCUUCAAGAAUUCUGUGAGAAAGAUUUCAUUAAAAAGGUGUGCCAAAAGGUUGAGGCCUCUGGGUUUGAAUUCACCAGCCUGGUAUUUUCAGUCUCCUUCCCACCACAACUAUCUGUAAGAGAGCAUGCUGCAUGGUUGCUGGUAAAACAGGAAAUGGGAAAGCAGAGUCUGUCGCUGGGAAGAGAUGAUAUAGUUCAGCUAAAAGAAGCCUACAAAUGGAUAACUCACCCCCUGUUUUCAGAGGAACUGGGUGUUCCCAUUGAUGGAAAGGUAUUGGGUCAACAGCAUUGUUAAUUUUAUUCUCUGAUUUUACUAGUUUUACUUAAUUAUAUGGCAGGGUUUUGGUUAGCCAAAAAAACUUCUUUUUAAAUAAUCCAGUGAAGGAUUUUUUAAGCUUUUAAAAUGUUAAAUUCUGAUAGUCUUAAAUUGAAGUCAAAGCAUUUCUUUUUUUUUUUUUUUCCCUAAGACUUCUUUAUGAUCUAAGACACUUAUGAAGGUACCCUAAUUGACCUUAAAAGGUUAGAAAUGAAUCUUUGCCUUUAAUGUAUUUAUAGUUCAGUUGGAGGAACAGACUUGAUGCAAAGCAACAUAUAAAUAACUGCAAGCAAAUAUAGAGUCAACUCUGGACUAUUUAAUUUUGGUUUAUCUGUGGCUAAUCUUGUUUUCAAAUGCAUGGACAGAACCUAUUCAAUUACAAUGAGUAUGGGCUCAAUCCUACCUUGUUGGUAUCUCAAAUCCCCCUGUUUACUUUUAGGCAGUAACUGCCUUUGAAAACAGAACAUUUCCCUUUUCCAGAGCAGACCUUACCUCAGUCUCUGAAAUGGGUUGACUUUCAGGGAAGACUCAACAGGCUUCCAGGUGUGAAAACAGGAAGGUCAUCUUAAAUUAGAUUUUAAUAUUAUGGCCUCAUUGCUUCAUCAUUUUGCUAGAAGGAAAUUCCCUGAAUAUCAGAUACACCCCUAUUCAAAUAAAAUCACAAAACCAUCUACUAAAGCUAAACAGUUUUUCAAAACCAUUCUGAAUUAUGCAGUAAUAUUUCCUUCUGUAAGAAUAUGCUCUGUUCUGUAAACCGAGUAUUGAGAGAAUAGAGAAUAAAACCACUUCACAGAUAGCAUGAAGAGGAAAUGAGGUAAUGAAAGUAUUUUGGAAGUUAGAGAAGUCAUUAAUGCAAAAUAUUUUUACCUCAAAUUUCAGUUUUGAAGCACAAAUAAUUUUACAUGUUGUAUCAGUGAGAACAGAAAAUAGAAAACAAAAGAUGUGGGUUGAGUGAAGUUUCCCUGAAUAAAAGGAAUGCGUUGUUCAUUUUAAUUAUUGUAUAGAUUAGAAUAAGGAGCAAAAAAAAAAAAGCUAUUCAUUAUUGUGAUUCUAGAGUAGCUAAUAGGUCUACUAACUAUCCAAUGAACUCAGUAAAUAUAAAGACAAAAUUGCAACAUAGUAUGGCGUUUUUAGCUAUUCCUCCCCCUGACCCCUCCCCCAUAUGGAAUUUUGUAUAUUCUCCAUGGAGGUAAAAGUAUAAAAUCAUGCUUUUUUUGUUGUACAAGGAUGUUCAUUAUAGCAUUUUUUUUUGUUACAGAAAAAUUUUCUACAGCUUAAAUGUCUGACAGUCCCUAGAGUUGAAAAGAUUUCCAUGAUAUAAUAUUAAAGCAAUUUUCCAAAAGCAUGUCUUAAAAAAUAACACAUAUACAUUUAUAUUCACAAAAAUGCCUAGAAAGAAACAUCAAAUUGUUAAUGGUUCUGCUUCAGUGGCGUGGGAUUGAAAAACUGUCUUGUAUUUGAUCAUUUUAUAAUUUAUGUGUAUAAUUUUUGUAAUAAAACAAAAAAAAUUAAGAUUUGGUUUUAAAACUCAAAUCCAUUAAGAUGUUUGAGCACUUUAAAAAGAAGCUUCAUAUGGUUUUUAGGGAUCUGAAUAGUAUGUUUUUUGCCUUGCUAAUAAUUCAAAUCAUAGUAUUGGCAGAAUAAUUCUUCAUUUCUCUCUGUUAUUAUUUAUUUUCAAUUCUGUAAAUUCUCAUUCAUCUUUAUACCUAAUUUACACAUUUGUCCAAAAAGUAUACACAUUUAUUUUAAAACUUUUUUGGUAGGAUCACUAAUGACUGAGUUUUAGAAGUUAAAAAAAAAAACAAAACUAUUUCCUUUACAGCUGCCCUGAUAACAAGUUGAUUUGAGAGCAGUAGUAUUUCCAGUUUUUCUGGUCAUUCUUUUCUGAGCCAAUCUUUGAGAAUGAAUUUCUAUUUCCAUUAAUAAGUUGUUAGAUGUUAGUUUCCUUUUGCUCAUUUUUAAACUGUCUUUAUAAUUUUUAGAGCUUGUUUGAAGUGAGUGUGGUCUUUGCUCACCCAGAAACAGUUGAGGAUUGCCACUUCCUGUAAGUUGCCAUGUAAACAACAAUGUCAAUGGUGUAAAAUUGUUAAUGCUGUUUGGUUUUCAUGAAAAUAGUAUUGCUUCUCUUCCUAAUAAGAAAGAGAAGAACUUGUUAUGUCUUAGUAGGUUUAAAAUGUGCCCUCAAAAAAAUAAAAUGUGUCCUUGAACAUAGUUCCUGGGCAAACCGAUAUAGCUCAUACAGGGACUCAUUUUGUCUGCUCCUGAUGUCCUGAGUUUAGCAGCCAUUUUGUAUGAAAUAUAUUUGAAUUAUAUCUACCCCAAAAUAAACUCAUUAACCUUUUAUAUUAACUUGAAUUUUAUUUUAGAGCUGCGAUAUGCCCAGAUUGUUUUAAGCCAGCCAAAAACAAACAGUCUGUAUUCACUAGAAUGGCAGUUAUGAAAGCCUUGAAUAAGAUAAAGGAAGAGGAUUUCCUUAAGCAGUUUCCUUGUCCUCCAAACUCACCAAAGGCUGUAUGCGCUGUUCUUGAAAUUGAAUGUGCUCAUGGUGCUGUUUUUGUGGCUGGGAGAUAUAAUAAAUACUCCAGGAAUCUACCACAAACUCCUUGGAUAAUUGAUGGAGAAAGGAAGCUGGAAUCUUCAGUGGAAGAAUUAAUUUCAGAUCAUCUGUUGGCAGUAUUUAAAGCAGAGAGUUUUAAUUUUUCAUCCUCUGGAAGAGAAGAUGUAGAUGUGAGAACAUUAGGAAAUGGAAGGCCCUUUGCAAUUGAGCUGGUGAAUCCUCAUAGAGUACAUUUCACUUCACAAGAAAUUAAGGAACUUCAGCAGAAAAUUAAUAACUCAUCUAACAAAAUCCAAGUACGUGACUUGCAGCUUGUCACAAGAGAGGCAAUAGGACAUAUGAAAGAAGGUGAAGAAGAAAAGACAAAGACCUACAGUGCCUUAAUUUGGACAAAUAAAGCGAUACAGAAGAAAGACAUUGAAUUCCUAAAUGACAUAAAGGACUUAAAGAUCGACCAGAAAACACCUUUGCGCGUCCUUCACCGAAGGCCCCUGGCUGUGCGAGCUCGCGUCAUUCACUCCAUGGAGACACAGUAUGUGGAUGAGCACCACUUCCGCCUCCACUUGAAAACUCAGGCUGGCACCUACAUUAAAGAGUUUGUACAUGGAGACUUCGGGAGAACCAAGCCAAACAUUGGGUCCCUGAUGAAUGUGACUGCAGACAUUCUUGAGCUGGAUGUUGAGUCUGUAGAUGUUGACUGGCCACCUGCUCUGGAUGACUAGCUUUCAAAUUUGGAGACAAAGAGUAUGGUUUUCCUGGCAUGAAUGUGGACAUCCAUGGAGCACAUGCCGUAAAAUGGCUGUUUACCCACCAUAACGGUGUCUUGAAAACUAUUUGGAUCAUGUUGAUCUUUAUAAUUGUUAAUUAGUUGUAACAUCUCAGGAUCUAUAUAUGUGUAUAUUUUGUGUUAAAUUGUUCCAAGGAUGUCUUAGGAUUUUUCUCAUUCCCUCUUUCACCCCCACAAACCAAACUAUGAAUAAUGAAAUAAUUCUCCUUAAUUCUUUCAUUUAGAGAGGUGCACAAACAGGACACAUUCUCUGUUAACCUAAGAAGCUGUAAUUUCAGCAAGAUUUCCCUCCACAAGAGAUAUACCACCUUUAAAAUCAUGUUCUAAUUUUUUUAAAUUAUCUGAAUAAAAGUUAUAUCUAGAUUUAUGCAGCAUAAUAUCCUAUAAUAGUCUAAGAUUGCAAAUGCAAAUCUGACAUCAUUAUUUUUCCCAGGAAGCCUCAAACAAGCUAUUACCAAUGAAGUUCUUUUGGCUGUGAUUUGUCAUAAAUCUUAACCAAACUAUGAAUAAUGAAAUAAUUCUCAUUAAUACUUUCAUUAAGAAAGAAUUUUGACAAUCUAAAAUUGUCAAUAUAGGUUUCCUGUGGAGGGGAAGUAAAACCGUAGGAGCCAAGGCAUGCCAUGGUAGGAGCCUUUCAUAAAUCUUUUAAAUAAGGAGAAACAAGUGCCUUUAAUAACUUUAAUCCCAGGGUUAAGAAUUUGAAAAAUUGAGCUUGGUAAACAAAGACAAACUGAUAUUAUUUCAGAAUGCUUCAAUAUAUUAUCCAAUUAUAAACAUUUUAAUAAUACCUUAUUAAAGUAGAUAGGAUAUUGUCUCCAUUUUAUAAAUAUGGAAACCAAAGACUAGAAGUUAAAUGACUUAUCGAAAAUUGUUAGCUACUUCUAUAUUGAGGACUAGAACUGAAGUUUCUUGGUUUCUAGGGUCUUUCUAAUAAGCCCUAUUACUGAGCACCUGUUUGUGUGAAGGGGCAGCUAUGGAUGCCAUUUAAACUCAUGUAACUGAUAAUUAACUUUUGGAAUGUAGUUACCAAAUCAAAGAGCUUACCAAAAAAUAGCCCAAGACUAUUUAAUACAAUCUUAUAUAGUUACCAUUUGUUAUUAAGUUAAACCUCAGUUGGUAUUAUGAAGAGGAAAAACAUUAAGCUAAACCUAAAAAAAAUGAAUGGGUCAUUUAAGUUUCAGAAAGGAGCCUCAUUACAAUUUCAGAUUUGAGUAUAAUUUCCAUCACCCUAAUUCAACUAUUUGAGCUUUUUUUUAAGAAUACAUGUGACUUGACUAGUAUUAGAUUACUCACCGUUUCCCAUCUCUAUAUUAAACAUAAAUCACAGAUACCAAGAUUCACUUUAGAUAUGAGGAAAAUGGUUUUAAUGGACACAAAGGAGUCAGCCACGUUGGAACCAACAUAGUUUCAUACCACGUUGAAACCAUGUGUUUGAUAUGCAAAUAACAGCAAAUAAUUUUUUCACUAUUGUCAAUGCCAAUGCAUUGAAAGGCCCAGAAAAUGAGAAAAGGAUAACAAACUUUUGAUAAAAAGGUAAGAAUUUCUGUGUGGAUGUUCCUCAGUUUCUGGGAAAAUUUUGCUACAAAAGAGAUUUAAAUAAUUUAGGAGGCAGUCUUUUGCAUGGUAUUUUUGGCUUACCUUUGAAUCUAGUGGACCUGUAAUAUGUAAGAAUGAAGAAUGUGCUUAGCAAACUGAAAUGAGAAGACUUCUAUUUCUUAAAUUUCUAUUCCUGAGAUUAUAUAAAAUUUCACGCAAAGAGUAAGCACUAGCUUUAAAUACUUCUUCCAAAUGUUCCUAGAAUUUUGAGACAAAGAUUGUUAAAAAUUAAUGUAUGUCUUUGUUUUAGGCAGAACUGGAAAUAUUAAGUAGUGAGAGUACUAUAGUUUCCCUUUUGCCUACAUAAAAGCAUUUUAAAAUUAGUUUUAUGAUUUCUUUGUAAGCUUUAUUUAAAUUCAAAGUCUUUUUCAUAACACUUAAGAGAAAGAGCCCUUUGUACUUCUUAGUAUCUCUUUGUCCCAAAUAUAGUCUGUGGUUUAUUUUAGGAAAAACAUCAACUCUGAAUACCUGAAAAAGUCAAGAGAAAAUAAAAGUUGGUAAAAUGAAAAAU